CACGUGAGUAACCUGCCCCUGACUCUGGGAGUAAGCGUUGGAAACGAACGUCUAAUACCGGAUAUGACUUACGGACGCAUGUUCUGUGGGUGGAAAGAAUUUUUCGGUUUGGGGAGUGGACUCGCGGCCUAUCAGCUUGUUGGUGAGGUAAUGGCUCACCAAGGCGACGACGGGUAGCCGGCCUGAGAGGGUGACCGGCCACACUGGGACUGAGACACGGCCCAGACUCCUACGGGAGGCAGCAGUGGGGAAUAUUGCACAAUGGGGGAAACCCGUGAUGCAGCCAUGCCGCGUGUGUGA
Molecule: ribosomal RNA, 300 nt
Filed under: uncultured Microbacteriaceae bacterium
Lineage: Bacteria; Bacillati; Actinomycetota; Actinomycetes; Micrococcales; Microbacteriaceae
Description: bacterial SSU rRNA
Rfam family: Bacterial small subunit ribosomal RNA
Source: RNAcentral